RNAcentral lists this ribosomal RNA (427 nucleotides) under uncultured bacterium. RNAcentral describes it as "partial 16S ribosomal RNA". It matches the Rfam family "Bacterial small subunit ribosomal RNA", at positions 355 to 774 of the family's 1533-position model. The record is from RNAcentral.
UGGGGAAUAUUGGACAAUGGGCGAAAGCCUGAUCCAGCCAUGCCGCGUGUGUGAAGAAGGUCUUCGGAUUGUAAAGCACUUUAAGUUGGGAGGAAGGGCAUUAACCUAAUACGUUAGUGUUUUGACGUUACCGACAGAAUAAGCACCGGCUAACUCUGUGCCAGCAGCCGCGGUAAUACAGGGGGGGCAAGCGUUAAUCGGAAUUACUGGGCGUAAAGCGCGCGUAGGUGGUUUGUUAAGUUGGAUGUGAAAUCCCCGGGCUCAACCUGGGAACUGCAUUCAAAACUGACUGACUAGAGUAUGGUAGAGGGUGGUGGAAUUUCCUGUGUAGCGGUGAAAUGCGUAGAUAUAGGAAGGAACACCAGUGGCGAAGGCGACCACCUGGACUAAUACUGACACUGAGGUGCGAAAGCGUGGGGAGCAAACA